GACGAACGCUGGCGGCGUGCCUAAUACAUGCAAGUAGAACGCUGAAGAGAGGAGCUUGCUCUUCUUGGAUGAGUUGCGAACGGGUGAGUAACGCGUAGGUAACCUGCCUUGUAGCGGGGGAUAACUAUUGGAAACGAUAGCUAAUACCGCAUAACAAUGGAUGACACAUGUCAUUUAUUUGAAAGGGGCAAUUGCUCCACUACAAGAUGGACCUGCGUUGUAUUAGCUAGUAGGUGAGGUAAUGGCUCACCUAGGCGACGAUACAUAGCCGACCUGAGAGGGUGAUCGGCCACACUGGGACUGAGACACGGCCCAGACUCCUACGGGAGGCAGCAGUAGGGAAUCUUCGGCAAUGGGGGCAACCCUGACCGAGCAACGCCGCGUGAGUGAAGAAGGUUUUCGGAUCGUAAAGCUCUGUUGUAAGUCAAGAACGGGUGUGAGAGUGGAAAGUUCACACUGUGACGGUAGCUUACCAGAAAGGGACGGCUAACUACGUGCCAGCAGCCGCGGUAAUACGUAGGUCCCGAGCGUUGUCCGGAUUUAUUGGGCGUAAAGCGAGCGCAGGCGGUUUGAUAAGUCUGAAGUUAAAGGCUGUGGCUCAACCAUAGUUCGCUUUGGAAACUGUCAAACUUGAGUGCAGAAGGGGAGAGUGGAAUUCCAUGUGUAGCGGUGAAAUGCGUAGAUAUAUGGAGGAACACCGGUGGCGAAAGCGGCUCUCUGGUCUGUAACUGACGCUGAGGCUCGAAAGCGUGGGGAGCGAACAGGAUUAGAUACCCUGGUAGUCCACGCCGUAAACGAUGAGUGCUAGGUGUUGGAUCCUUUCCGGGAUUCAGUGCCGCAGCUAACGCAUUAAGCACUCCGCCUGGGGAGUACGACCGCAAGGUUGAAACUCAAAGGAAUUGACGGGGGCCCGCACAAGCGGUGGAGCAUGUGGUUUAAUUCGAAGCAACGCGAAGAACCUUACCAGGUCUUGACAUCCCGAUGCUAUUUCUAGAGAUAGAAAGUUACUUCGGUACAUCGGUGACAGGUGGUGCAUGGUUGUCGUCAGCUCGUGUCGUGAGAUGUUGGGUUAAGUCCCGCAACGAGCGCAACCCCUAUUGUUAGUUGCCAUCAUUCAGUUGGGCACUCCAGCGAGACUGCCGGUAAUAAACCGGAGGAAGGUGGGGAUGACGUCAAAUCAUCAUGCCCCUUAUGACCUGGGCUACACACGUGCUACAAUGGUUGGUACAACGAGUUGCGAGUCGGUGACGGCGAGCUAAUCUCUUAAAGCCAAUCUCAGUUCGGAUUGUAGGCUGCAACUCGCCUACAUGAAGUCGGAAUCGCUAGUAAUCGCGGAUCAGCACGCCGCGGUGAAUACGUUCCCGGGCCU
RNAcentral lists this ribosomal RNA (1369 nucleotides) under uncultured bacterium. RNAcentral describes it as "bacterial SSU rRNA". It matches the Rfam family "Bacterial small subunit ribosomal RNA", at positions 28 to 1381 of the family's 1533-position model. The record is from RNAcentral.